GGUUGUAUAGUGUAGCGGUUAGCACUUCGGAUUCUGAUUAUAUCGGCUGAUCUUCGGAACUUCCGGCGACCCCGGUUCGAUUCCGGGUACGACCU
Zalaria obscura is the source of this 95-nucleotide non-coding RNA. The record is from the annotation of a GenBank genome assembly. NCBI's taxonomy places the organism in Eukaryota, Fungi, Ascomycota, Dothideomycetes, Dothideales, Zalariaceae.